GAGUUUGAUCAUGGCUCAGGAUGAACGCUGGCGGCGUGCUUAACACAUGCAAGUCGAACGAACCUUCGGGUUAGUGGCGGACGGGUGAGUAACGCGUGAGAAUCUGCCCUCAGGAGGGGGAUAACGGUUGGAAACGACCGCUAAUACCCCAUAUGCCGCGAGGUGAAAUGAAUUUCGCCUGAGGAUGAGCUCGCGUCUGAUUAGCUAGUUGGUGGCGUAAAGGCUUACCAAGGCAUCGAUCAGUAGCUGGUCUGAGAGGAUGAUCAGCCACACUGGGACUGAGACACGGCCCAGACUCCUACGGGAGGCAGCAGUGGGGAAUUUUCCGCAAUGGGCGAAAGCCUGACGGAGCAACGCCGCGUGAGGGAUGAAGGCCUCUGGGCUGUAAACCUCUUUUAUCAAGGAAGAAGAUCUGACGGUACUUGAUGAAUAAGCCACGGCUAAUUCCGUGCCAGCAGCCGCGGUAAUACGGGAGUGGCAAGCGUUAUCCGGAAUUAUUGGGCGUAAAGCGUCCGCAGGCGGCCCUUCAAGUCUGCUGUUAAAAAGUGGAGCUUAACUCCAUCAUGGCAGUGGAAACUGUUGGGCUUGAGUGUGGUAGGGGCAGAGGGAAUUCCCGGUGUAGCGGUGAAAUGCAUAGAUAUCGGGAAGAACACCGGUGGCGAAGGCGCUCUGCUGGGCCAUCACUGACGCUCAUGGACGAAAGCCAGGGGAGCGAAAGGGAUUAGAUACCCCUGUAGUCCUGGCCGUAAACGAUGAACACUAGGUGUCGGGGGAAUCGACCCCCUCGGUGUCGUAGCCAACGCGUUAAGUGUUCCGCCUGGGGAGUACGCACGCAAGUGUGAAACUCAAAGGAAUUGACGGGGGCCCGCACAAGCGGUGGAGUAUGUGGUUUAAUUCGAUGCAACGCGAAGAACCUUACCAGGGUUUGACAUCCUGCGAAUCUCUUGGAAACGAGAGAGUGCCUUCGGGAGCGCAGUGACAGGUGGUGCAUGGCUGUCGUCAGCUCGUGUCGUGAGAUGUUGGGUUAAGUCCCGCAACGAGCGCAACCCACGUCUUUAGUUGCCAGCAUUGAGUUGGGCACUCUAGAGAGACCGCCGGUGAUAAACCGGAGGAAGGUGUGGAUGACGUCAAGUCAUCAUGCCCCUUACAUCCUGGGCUACACACGUACUACAAUGCUACGGACAAAGGGCAGCAAGUUCGCGAGGACAAGCAAAUCCCAUAAACCGUGGCUCAGUUCAGAUCGUAGGCUGCAACUCGCCUACGUGAAGGAGGAAUCGCUAGUAAUCGCAGGUCAGCAUACUGCGGUGAAUACGU
This 1314-nucleotide ribosomal RNA is filed under the name unidentified marine bacterioplankton. Its description in RNAcentral is "bacterial SSU rRNA". It matches the Rfam family "Bacterial small subunit ribosomal RNA", at positions 9 to 1371 of the family's 1533-position model. The record is from RNAcentral.